This is a long non-coding RNA of Girardinichthys multiradiatus, 2120 nucleotides long. RefSeq lists it as uncharacterized. The record is from RefSeq and is a predicted model, not a curated record. NCBI's taxonomy places the organism in Eukaryota, Metazoa, Chordata, Actinopteri, Cyprinodontiformes, Goodeidae. The transcript is spliced from 5 exons.
CGGGGAUUUCAGAGGAAGUAGGCAUGUGAGGAGGACGCCGUUGUUUAACAGCAGAGAAAGCUUCUCAUUUUUGCUUUCUAUAGCUUUUGACCACAUGGACAGAAGAGGAGGCGGCUCUUCAACGGGCUUUGAGGGAGACAGAGAGGGACCAUGGGCGAGUGAGGUGUUCCCACUAUAUCACCAGGUUGUCUCUUCCGUGCCCACACUCCACAUCUACACACAUCCUCAGUCCUUUACAACUGAACUGUUCUCCCUCAGCAUGUAAUAAAUGAGGAAAUGGAUACAGCUGCAGCAACCGAGAGAGAGAGAGGGAGAGGCGGAGAAACGAGAGAGAGAAGAAAAGAAAAGGAACGAUGGGGAGAGAUGAAGAGAGAGAACAUAUAAAGAGACGAGAUGACUGGGAGGAGGAGAGGGCCUUGAACAUCACAUGGUAGCACCGAGCGAUUAAAGCAGAUCCUCUGACAAGCGCAAGCAAGUCGGCUUAAAGCAGACUACAGAAGCAGAGCGGUUGGAUUGUGAGAAAUCACUCGAAAUGAUGUUUGUUUACUUUGCAAAAUCACAGGAGAAAAAACGCAGAGGGGAAGAGUUGCUAAGUGAUGGAGCUGCGUAUGUGCCCGAUGCUUCUCCAUUUGCAAAUUUCUUCCAAAGAGAAUGCAGCUAGGACUGUACAAAUGCUGACUAAUGUUAAAACAUCUACUCUGUGUAAUGAAAAAGAGGGGGGAAACUGCUGCAAUAAUGGGAACAUGUUAAAAAAAUGGAACCGUGCUUUGUGUACGUUUGAAUCUGCUGUGUGAAGCACACAGUACAAAGCAGAGGAGAUGUAUGGAAUCACUUAGCCCACAAUGUUUUACCCUCUGUUUUUUCUGUCAAGGAAAUCUUUCUGCACCCACAGAAAAAAGGAAACAUGUCCAUUUUUUUCAUUGUCUGUUUUGUAUUCUGUUCAGAAUAAAAGCAAUUUGAGAGUCGUUCCAGCUCUUGAAUUAUUUAGAUACAACUUAGUGCAAACGCUACCAACAGAAAUUGAUGAUAUCCAUCUCAGUCAGGCAGUAAAGAAUGAGGUGCACCUGUAGCUGCCAUGGCCUUUAGCUUCAGAGAUUCCACUGACUGCCAUGACUUUCUGUUAGGUGGCAUUUUGUUUUGUGACUUUCUUUUCUUGUGUUUCUGUCCUUAGAAAUAGGACAUUUGUGCAUCACAGACCCAUUUUAUAACUAUUGUGUUACUACUUAUUUGAGCCUCUCUGUCAGUCUGCUGGUCCAACAAAUGGGUGAAGUGUUGCCACAUUUGUGAAUAUUCCUUUUGGGUGCUGUAAAGCCCUGAGAACUGUAUUGUAUUUAUGUACUGCGAGCAGCAGCCUAAAUGCAGAAAAUCUGUUUGACUGUGAGACUCUAUGGUUUCAAUUUUCCUGAAACGACUGGUAAUUUCAGUAUUUCAGUCUCAGUGAAGUACACAAGCUGCUACUGGGAGUAGUUUCAGACAAAUGUGGAUGAGGACAGAGAUGAGUGCAGAUUAGUAAGCAAUUGAGAUGGGGCUUAUUGUUUUAUUUAAAAAGUUCUAUACCGUGCAAGCAGAAAACAGCAAAAACUACAAACUGUAAGCAAACAAUAAGGUUAUAACUCCAAUUAUCAUCCAGUAUAUGGGUUCCUUAUUUGUGUUACCCUGAAUUGUUAAAGGAUUUCAAAAACAAACACUGAUUUUUAUUUUUCUUUAAACUGAACACUCAGUUUUAGUACAUUGGUUGUUGGGGAAAAACACAUGUUAAAGAAACAAUUGUUGUUUUAUUUUUGCUUAGUUUUUUGCAGUCUCCUUGGCAUGACACUUAGUGACAUCCCUAACGAUUCUUGUUAAAUAAAUGUAACUAAAGCAUAUUUAUCAUUUAUGCUUUAUUUUUUAUAAUUGGCUAGAGUUAAUUAGUCAUCUAUUACGGGCUGUUUCCUAGGGGCAUAAAUCCAACAAGGCACAUCUGUUAAUAGAAAAAAAAAAAACAUUUCAGGAGGCUAUCAUAUGAAAAAAGCUAAUUUUUGAAGAAUCGAAAUUAUACAUGUAAAUCCAGGUUUGUUCAUUCAUAGUUUGAAUGUAUCCGUAUUAUCCUAUGAUGCAGAAAAUAAAGAAAAUCCUUUGAA